CGGGAUCCUUGGGGGGGAUCUUGGGAAUCUUGCGAAUGGGCGAACCCUGGGAACGACGCGCGUGGGGGAAGACGGCCUACGGGUUGUAAACCUUUUUUACCACUGACGCCAGCCCCGGUUUCUGCCGGGGUUGACGGUAGGUGGGGAAUAAGGGACCGGCCCAAAUCCGUGCCAGCAGCCGCGGUAAUACGUAAGGGUCCGAGCGUUGUCCGGAAUCAUUGGGCGUAAAGAGCUCGUAGGUGGUGUGUCGCGUCUGCUGUGUAAGUCCGGGGCUCAACCCCGGUUUGGCAGUGGAUACGGGCAUGCUAGAGGUAGGUAGGGGAGACUGGAAUUCCUGGUGUAGCGGUGAAAUGCGCAGAUAUCAGGAGGAACACCGGUGGCGAAGGCGGGUCUCUGGGCCUUACCUGACGCUGAGGAGCGAAAGCGUGGGGAGCGAACAGGAUUAGAUACCCUGGUAGUCCACGCCGUAAACGAUGUAUGCUAGUUGUUGGCCCUUCGGGGUCAGUGACGUAGUUAACGCGCUAAGCAUACCACCUGGGGAGUACGUUCGCAAGGUUAAAACUCAAAUGAAUUGACGGGGGCCCGCACAAGCGGUGGAGCAUGUGGUUUAAUUCGAUGCAACGCGAAGAACCUUAC
RNAcentral lists this ribosomal RNA (636 nucleotides) under uncultured Streptomonospora sp. RNAcentral describes it as "bacterial SSU rRNA". It matches the Rfam family "Bacterial small subunit ribosomal RNA", at positions 331 to 974 of the family's 1533-position model. Lineage: Bacteria; Bacillati; Actinomycetota; Actinomycetes; Streptosporangiales; Nocardiopsidaceae. The record is from RNAcentral.